This 320-nucleotide ribosomal RNA is filed under the name uncultured eukaryote. Its description in RNAcentral is "bacterial SSU rRNA". It matches the Rfam family "Bacterial small subunit ribosomal RNA", at positions 376 to 712 of the family's 1533-position model. The record is from RNAcentral.
CGAAAGCCUGACGGAGCAAUACCGCGUGAAGGAUGAAGGCCUAUGGGUCGUAAACUUCUUUUCUCAGAGAAGAAUUUUGACGGUAUCUGAGGAAUAAGCAUCGGCUAACUCUGUGCCAGCAGCCGCGGUAAUACAGAGGAUGCAAGCGUUAUCCGGAAUGAUUGGGCGUAAAGCGUCUGUAGGUGGUUUGACAAGUCUUCUGUCAAAGAUCAGGGCUUAACCCUGGGCAGGCAGGAGAAACUAUCAGGCUUGAGUUCGGUAGGGGCAGAGGGAAUUCCCGGUGGAGCGGUGAAAUGCGUAGAUAUCGGGAGGAACACCAA